UUUCAGAUUGACAUAUAAUACACUGUAUAAGGGAAAAAAAAAAAGUUAAAAUAUAUAAUUUAGAAUAGUAAAGUGCAGAAAUUGAAAUAGUAAAAAGAUCUAGUUGUUAUAUGGUCCCCUUUCUCUACGACCUGGACAAGUCUACCUCCAGCCGUGGGUGUUUUAGUGUCCUAAGGAGGGUUGCUAACCUGGACAAGUCUACCUCCAGCCGUGGGUGUUUUAGUGUCCUAAGGUGGGUUGCUAACCUGGACAAGUCUACCUACAGCCAUGGGUGUUUUAGUGUCCUAAGGAGGGUUGCUAACCUGGACAAGUCUACCUACAGCCAUGGGUGUUUUAGUGUCCUAAGGUGGGUUGCUAACCUGGACAAGUCUACCUCCAGGCAUGGGUGUUUUAGUGUCCUUCUAAGGAGGGUUGCUAACCUGGACAAGGUCGUAUCCCUUGGCGUCCAUGGGUGUUUUAGUGACCUAAGGUGGGUUGCUAACCUGGAAAAGGUCGUAUCCCUUGGCGUCCUCCUGGUCGUAAGGCCGGAUGAUUCCAUCCUC
Oncorhynchus keta (chum salmon) is the source of this 542-nucleotide long non-coding RNA. RefSeq lists it as uncharacterized. Lineage: Eukaryota; Metazoa; Chordata; Actinopteri; Salmoniformes; Salmonidae. The record is from RefSeq and is a predicted model, not a curated record. The transcript is spliced from 3 exons.